UACGUAGGUGGCAAGCGUUGUCCGGAAUCACUGGGCGUAAAGGGCGCGUAGGCGGCUCAUGAAGGCUGUGGUGAAAGUCCGGGGCUCAACCUCGGAUCGGCCGUGGCGACUCGUGGGCUGGAGCACUGUAGAGGCGGGUGGAAUUCCGGGUGUAGCGGUGGAAUGCGUAGAGAUCCGGAAGAACACCAGUGGCGAAGGCGGCCCGCUGGGCAGUGGCUGACGCUGAGGCGCGACAGCGUGGGGGAGCAAACAGG
Molecule: ribosomal RNA, 254 nt
Filed under: uncultured bacterium
Lineage: Bacteria
Description: partial 16S ribosomal RNA
Rfam family: Bacterial small subunit ribosomal RNA
Source: RNAcentral